RNAcentral lists this ribosomal RNA (253 nucleotides) under uncultured bacterium. Its description in RNAcentral is "partial 16S ribosomal RNA". It matches the Rfam family "Bacterial small subunit ribosomal RNA", at positions 524 to 776 of the family's 1533-position model. The record is from RNAcentral.
UACGGAGGGGGCUAGCGUUGUUCGGAAUUACUGGGCGUAAAGCGCAUGUAGGCGGCUUUGUAAGUUAGAGGUGAAAGCCCAGGGCUUAACCCUGGAAUUGCCUUUAAGACUGCAUCGCUAGAAUUGUGGAGAGGUAAGUGGAAUUCCGAGUGUAGAGGUGAAAUUCGUAGAUAUUCGGAAGAACACCAGUGGCGAAGGCGACUUACUGGACACAUAUUGACGCUGAGGUGCGAAAGCGUGGGGAGCAAACAGG